This 422-nucleotide long non-coding RNA is filed under the name Salmo salar (Atlantic salmon). RNAcentral describes it as "lncRNA (ENSSSAG00000100067.1)". The record is from RNAcentral. Lineage: Eukaryota; Metazoa; Chordata; Actinopteri; Salmoniformes; Salmonidae.
ACAGUAGACACUAUUUAAUCAGAGGAUAGAAUGGGCUUGGAUAACCCUUACUACAGACUGGUUUUCACACAAGGUACAGUAGACAGUUAUUUAAUCAGAGGAUAGAAUGGGCUUGGAUAGCCCUUACCACAGACUGGUUUUCACACAAGGUACAGUAGACACUAUUUAAGCAGAGGAUAGAAUGGGCUUGGAUAGCCUUUACUACAGACUGGUUUUCACACAAGGUACAGUAGACACUAUUUAAGCAGAGGAUAGAAUGGGCUUGGAUAGCCUUUACUACAGACUGGUUUUCACACAAGGUACAGUAGACAGUUAUUUAAGCAGAGGAUAGAAUGGGCUUGGAUAGCCCUUACUACAGACUGGUUUUCACACAAGGUACAGUAGACACUAUUUAAGCAGAGGAUAGAAUGGGCUUGGAUAAC